AUACGGAGGGUGCAAGCGUUAAUCGGAAUUACUGGGCGUAAAGCGCGCGUAGGCGGAUUGUUAAGUCUCAUGUGAAAGCCCUGGGCUCAACCUGGGAACUGCAUGGGAUACUGGCAAUCUAGAAUACAGUAGAGGGUAGUGGAAUUUCAGGUGUAGCGGUGAAAUGCGUAGAGAUCUGAAGGAACAUCAGUGGCGAAGGCGACUACCUGGACUGAUAUUGACGCUGAGGUGCGAAAGCGUGGGGAGCAAACGGAAUUAGAAACCCUAGUAGUCC
RNAcentral lists this ribosomal RNA (274 nucleotides) under uncultured bacterium. RNAcentral's name for it is "partial 16S ribosomal RNA". It matches the Rfam family "Bacterial small subunit ribosomal RNA", at positions 523 to 796 of the family's 1533-position model. The record is from RNAcentral.